RNAcentral lists this ribosomal RNA (481 nucleotides) under uncultured bacterium. RNAcentral's name for it is "bacterial SSU rRNA". It matches the Rfam family "Bacterial small subunit ribosomal RNA", at positions 30 to 507 of the family's 1533-position model. The record is from RNAcentral.
AUUGAACGCUGGCGGCAGGCCUUUCACAUGCAAGUCGAGCGCGAAAGCACUUCGGUGUGAGUAGAGCGGCGGACGGGUGAGUAAUGCUUGGGAAUCUGCCCAGUAGUGGGGGAUAACGUGUGGAAACGCACGCUAAUACCGCAUACGUCCUACGGGAGAAAGCAGGGGAUCUUCGGACCUUGCGCUAUUGGAUGAGCCCAAGUCGGAUUAGCUAGUUGGUGGGGUAAUGGCCUACCAAGGCGACGAUCCGUAGCUGGUCUGAGAGGAUGAUCAGCCACACUGGGACUGAGACACGGCCCAGACUCCUACGGGAGGCAGCAGUGGGGAAUAUUGCACAAUGGGCGAAAGCCUGAUGCAGCCAUGCCGCGUGUGUGAAGAAGGCUCUAGGGUUGUAAAGCACUUUCAGUAGGGAGGAAAAGCUUAAGGUUAAUAACCUUGAGCCCUGACGUUACCUACAGAAGAAGCACCGGCAAACUCCGUG